CCUACGGGAGGCUGCAGUGGGGAAUAUUGGACAAUGGGGGCAACCCUGAUCCAGCCAUGCCGCGUGUGUGAAGAAGGCCCUCGGGUUGUAAAGCACUUUCAGUGAGGAAGAACGCCUGGUGGUUAAUACCCAUCAGGAAAGACAUCACUCACAGAAGAAGCACCGGCUAACUCCGUGCCAGCAGCCGCGGUAAUACGGAGGGUGCGAGCGUUAAUCGGAAUUACUGGGCGUAAAGCGCGCGUAGGUGGCUUGAUAAGCCGGUUGUGAAAGCCCCGGGCUCAACCUGGGAACUGCAUCCGGAACUGUCAAGCUAGAGUGCAGGAGAGGAAUGUAGAAUUCCCGGUGUAGCGGUGAAAUGCGUAGAGAUCGGGAGGAAUACCAGUGGCGAAGGCGGCCUUCUGGACUGACACUGACGCUGAGGUGCGAAAGCGUGGGUAGCAAACAGGAUUAGAUACCCCAGUAGUC
This 465-nucleotide ribosomal RNA is filed under the name Vreelandella stevensii. Its description in RNAcentral is "partial 16S ribosomal RNA". It matches the Rfam family "Bacterial small subunit ribosomal RNA", at positions 338 to 795 of the family's 1533-position model. Lineage: Bacteria; Pseudomonadati; Pseudomonadota; Gammaproteobacteria; Oceanospirillales; Halomonadaceae. The record is from RNAcentral.